This 316-nucleotide small RNA is filed under the name Bos taurus (domestic cattle). Its description in RNAcentral is "partial maternally expressed gene 8". The stretch from base 219 to 316 matches the Rfam family "Maternally expressed 8 exon 2". The record is from RNAcentral. Lineage: Eukaryota; Metazoa; Chordata; Mammalia; Artiodactyla; Bovidae.
CCAGGGGAGUGUGAGGCCCUUCUAGGCUGACCUCAAAGACACCGCUCUCCCCAGAAUCCAGAGGGACACCUGGAGGGAUAAACAGGUCAGCCUUGGGUCCAGAGGCCCUUUCCUUGUGUCAACCCUGUAACUUUUACUGGCCCAGUGGGACUUAACGUAGCCUUCUGGAGGAAAGAGCAUCUUCACGUGGAUUUACCCUGGCCCGGAGGCAGAUGCAGUGACCUCGGCUCCCGUGUUGCCAGGAUCCGACCUCUCCUAGUUGAAAACAGCCUCGUGUUCCCCUGGGCCGAGGGGCAGCUCCAGAGGACUGGCUGAG